AUUAAACGCUGGCGGCAUGCCUUACACAUGCAAGUCGAACGGCAGCACGGGGGCAACCCUGGUGGCGAGUGGCGGACGGGUGAGUAAAGCAUCGGAACGUAUCCUGGAGUGGGGGAUAACGUAGCGAAAGUUACGCUAAUACCGCAUAUUCUGUGAGCAGGAAAGCAGGGGAUCGCAAGACCUUGCGCUCUGGGAGCGGCCGAUGUCGGAUUAGCUAGUUGGUGGGGUAAAGGCCUACCAAGGCGACGAUCCGUAGCGGGUCUGAGAGGAUGAUCCGCCACACUGGGACUGAGACACGGCCCAGACUCCUACGGGAGGCAGCAGUGGGGAAUUUUGGACAAUGGGCGGAAGCCUGAUCCAGCCAUGCCGCGUGAGUGAAGAAGGCCUCGGGUUGUAAAG
This 399-nucleotide ribosomal RNA is filed under the name uncultured bacterium. RNAcentral describes it as "bacterial SSU rRNA". It matches the Rfam family "Bacterial small subunit ribosomal RNA", at positions 29 to 430 of the family's 1533-position model. The record is from RNAcentral.